CUGACUGUCCUGGAGAUUAAAUUCCUCUCUUCAGCUACAGAACAGGUACAGCAUGGACAGUGGCAGAGCAAAGUUCUUCACGCCACUCCACCCAUGUGCCUCAAACCUGGCCUAGAGGGACUUCUUGUAGGAAUGAGAUGGAAAUCCAGUUGCCAUGGCUCAGUCAGUCUCUGGCCUCU
Unclassified non-coding RNA from Chelonoidis abingdonii (Abingdon island giant tortoise), 179 nucleotides. NCBI's taxonomy places the organism in Eukaryota, Metazoa, Chordata, Testudines, Testudinidae. The record is from Ensembl.